Molecule: non-coding RNA, 1433 nt
Organism: Xyrichtys novacula (pearly razorfish)
Lineage: Eukaryota; Metazoa; Chordata; Actinopteri; Labriformes; Labridae
Source: the annotation of a GenBank genome assembly
GGACAUGUAGUUUGUCUGCAGCAAGCGUUUUGGUAGAAACUGCGCCUCCCAUUCAUUAUAAUGGUAAAUGACCACAGACAAGUGCGCACACCAUCGUUGAACCUUGAGUGUGACGCGAUCGGGAGGGAGAGGCGGUCGUGUUGGGGGCGGCGUGACACAGCUCGGGCCCGCCAGUGCCCCAACGGGGCCCUAGUUAUAAACGUUUCUGUGAGACCAAUAAUAAUUUUGUGAUGACCACAUGUUAUGUCUAAAUGACGAUUUGUGUGGAUGUAGUUGUGUUUAUUAGCUAGCAAAGAAUCAAAAGGUUAUGAAUGUGACAUAGUGGUCCACUGGGACUAUUACAAAGUAGCCUAGACAUAAUUCUUUACAGGUGGGAAAGGCAGAAUUACUCCUUUUUUUUAACAUACAUAAUAUGAUCUCCAGGCUGUUUCAUUAGUAAAAUAUAUCCUUAAUUUAGAUUUGUUGUGAUACAGUAAAUGCCUGGCUUUGUGUUUACAGAAAUACCCCCUAUAGUCCAUGAUGCCAGACUUUUGUGCGGCACAUGGAUACUCAAAUGAACGUUCUGUCCAAACAAGAGCCCAUGGAAUCACCUUUCACUCAUAAGAAAUGACUUGAGGGACAUAUUUAGGAUAAUUGUUACUAACUUAGUUAAAUUUGUACUUGUAAAAUACAAGUUAUUUUUACCCUGACUUUUUAGAAAUGUUUCUACCAUUUGUUUACAUAAUAACCAUUGAAUAUUUCUUUUUCACAUUUUUUAACAUGUUACUGUUAUUGACUUGUUAUUUAAGUUUACAUCAUGGCAUUCAAGCAUAGGCUACAUGAAUUACCCCAACAAUAUCAUAAUUUAGCUCUAGUUGUGCCCCUGUUUUUCAAACUAAGGCUGCACCACAUUGCUACAAUGACUACGCUUGACAGAAGCUCACCAAAACAGUACUUUUCAAGGGUCAGUAGCUCAAAUUGUCCGUGCACUUGUUAGGGCCCGAGCCAGCUGCAGAGCAGCCGGGCCUGGAGCCCUAUUAUUCCUGUAGUGGUUUUUCUUUGUUUCUUUCUUUAGGGCCCGAGCGUAGCUGCUGAGCAGCUGCGAGAGCCCUGUUGUUCCUGAUGGAUUCUUCUUUCUUUAGGGCCCGAGCGUAGCUGCUAAGAAGCUGCGAGAGCCCUCUUGUUAGGGCCCGAGCGUAGCUGCUAAGCAGCUGCGAGAGCCCUAUUAUUCCUGAUGGAUUCUUCUUUCUUCUUCUUCUUCUUCUUAUUAGGGCCCGAGCGUAGCUGCUAAGCAGCUGCGAGAGCCCUAUUAUUCCUGAUGGAUUCUUCUUUAGGGCCCGAGCGUAGCUGCUAAGCAGCUGCGAGAGCCCUCUUGUUCCUGAUGGAUUCUUCUUUUGUUAUUAUUAGGGCCCGAGCGUAGCUGCUAAGCAGCUGCGAGAGCCCUCUUGUUCCUG